UACAGAGGUCUCAAGCGUUGUUCGGAUUCAUUGGGCGUAAAGGGUGCGUAGGCGGCGCGGUAAGUCGGGUGUGAAAUCUCGGGGCUUAACUCCGAAACUGCAUUCGAUACUGCCGUGCUUGAGGACUGGAGAGGAGACUGGAAUUCAUGGUGUAGCAGUGAAAUGCGUAGAGAUCAUGAGGAAGACCAGUGGCGAAGGCGGGUCUCUGGACAGUUCCUGACACUGAGACACGAAGGCCAGGGGAGCAAACGGG
RNAcentral lists this ribosomal RNA (253 nucleotides) under uncultured bacterium. RNAcentral describes it as "partial 16S ribosomal RNA". It matches the Rfam family "Bacterial small subunit ribosomal RNA", at positions 524 to 776 of the family's 1533-position model. The record is from RNAcentral.